Molecule: ribosomal RNA, 253 nt
Filed under: uncultured bacterium
Lineage: Bacteria
Description: partial 16S ribosomal RNA
Rfam family: Bacterial small subunit ribosomal RNA
Source: RNAcentral
GACAGAGGGUGCAAACGUUGUUCGGAAUUACUGGGCGUAAAGCGCGCGUAGGCGGUCGGGCAAGUCGGAUGGGAAAGCCCCGGGCUCAACCCGGGAAGUGCAUUCGAUACUGCUUGGCUAGAGUACUGGAGAGGAUGGUGGAACUCUCGGUGUAGAGGUGAAAUUCGUAGAUAUCGAGAAGAACACCGGCGGCGAAGGCGGCCAUCUGGACAGAUACUGACGCUGAGACGCGAAAGCGUGGGGAGCAAACAGG